RNAcentral lists this unclassified non-coding RNA (225 nucleotides) under Hevea brasiliensis (rubber tree). Lineage: Eukaryota; Viridiplantae; Streptophyta; Magnoliopsida; Malpighiales; Euphorbiaceae. The record is from RNAcentral.
GAGUAUUUGUAAUUGUAUAUAUUAGUGCGUGUGCGUUUAUUUUUGUUAGUAUGAAAGUAUUUUAGUUUUUAAUUUUAAAAAUUUUAAAUUAGUUUUAUGAAGAGAAUUUUUUUUUGUGAAAAGUAAGAUUAAGAAAAAAUAAAUUAAAGAUAUGUGAUUUAUUUAAUGAAAGUGAAAAAGAAGUUUUAAAAUAGUGUUAUUGAUUAAAAAGAAUAUUUGGAAUGU